UUUUGUUUGAUCGCAAUUAAAUUUUCAGAAAUAAUAAAAACUCUCUAGAUACUGCAAUUUAAUGAAUAAGAAAUAAGCUUCAAAUGAAUCCCUCUUAAUCGUUACUUCCAUGAACUAAACGUUUGACUUGACGAUAAGUUCAACUGACUGCGUCAAGUGUGUGCACAUACUGACUGUGUGUGUGUGUGUGUUUGUAUGUGACUGUGUGUGUGUGCGGGUAUGAAUGUGUUCUACUCUCAGUGUGGUCUUGAUGUUUGUAAGUUUAAGUGGUAGAUAUUAUUCAAAAGGAAUUAAGACUGAAAUGAAAAGCUUGUCGACGAUGAUGAGAGGAGGAAACGGUGACUGAAGAGCACUGACGACAACGACGGCAAUGGGCAACGUGAGACGUGUGACGUGCAACGUGAGAGAUGCCAAACGAAAGCUGCUGUGGAAUGGCAACCGCAGGACGAACGCUUUUAAUAAAUAUGACUGUUUACAGAUGCAGCUGCGUAGGUGUGGGUGUGUGUAUGUGCGGUGCUUGUCAUGCAAAUGUCAAGAGAAAAGAGCAACAACUCGGUGAAUGGGCAAAGGGAGAGAAAGAGAGGGGUUUAAUUACAAAAUCAAAAUAAAAGCCAUGCGUUAGAAGGGAACAACUAGAUAGUAGGUAGAUAGUUGCCCCUUUUACUGCCAUUUAAAGGCGGCCUUUGCAUAAUGUCAAACGUCAAAUGUAAACUACAAAGAUCCACGACGCAUGGCGGUGCGGUGAAUGAAAGGCAGCUAAAGUGUCAACAUAAUAACUUCAUUACUAUGGCGACGUCAGUGAAGGUGACGCGUUUGCAGAUGCAGACGAAGACGCAGGCGCUAACAUAGACGCGAACGAGGUGCAAAGGACGAAGGAUACGCGAAGGAGAGGCCAAUCUAAACACAAACAGCAACAUCACAUGCCGCAACUGCAACUGCAACGAUGAUUGGGUUAGUGGCAAACGUAAUUCGCCAUGAACCAAGAGCCAGAUAUGCAAAUUAAGACAGGAGACGACUAGGCGGAACAUGAGUGGUUAGCAUAUUUGCUCAGUUGCGGCCCAAAUGAGUUUGGAUAGCUGCACAUAAAUUAUCCUGCAGUGCAGUGCAAUGGCUCAUAAAGUAAACCGAAAUUACGGAAAUCCAUCUGAUUUUGCUUUAAAAAUUACUUCUAAUCAAACUGCUAUUCAUCUGUUUUCUCGCUAUUCUAUCAAUAGUUUAUGCCUUCUAACAUAGAUUUCAAAAUCGAAGCUUCAGUCAAUGCGAUCAGAGAGAACUAAAUAGUCAAGUGUCGCACAAGUGUCGCAAAUAGACAAAAUGCAAUACAACACUGUGGCUGAGCGGAGCUUACUCGUAUGUGAUUAGCUCAUUUGUAUGUUAGCCCAAUCUGCACGUUGUUGCCACACCCACACACACAUACACAGACAACAAAGCCUAGACACAUACGCAUCGCAUCGCAUGGCAUCUGUA
Long non-coding RNA from Drosophila albomicans, 1467 nucleotides. RefSeq lists it as uncharacterized. The record is from RefSeq and is a predicted model, not a curated record. The transcript is spliced from 3 exons. NCBI's taxonomy places the organism in Eukaryota, Metazoa, Arthropoda, Insecta, Diptera, Drosophilidae.